AACGAACGCUGGCGGCAUGCCUAACACAUGCAAGUCGAACGAGACCUUCCGGCCUAUUUGCGCACGUCUGCUUACCGCCUGGUAACCUGCCCUUAGGUUCCCAAUAACUCCCCUAAAGGUGUCCUCAUACCACUUAAUCUCUUCCCAGCAAAGAUUUAUCGCCUUUGGAUGGGCGCUCGUUGGAUUAGCUAGUUGGUAGGGUAAUAGCAUGCCAAGGCGAGGAUGCAUAGCUGGUCGGAGAGGAUGAUAAUCCAGAAUGGGACUGAGACACGGACCAGACUCGUACGGAAGGGAGCAGUAGGGAAUAUUGGACGAUGGGCGAAAGCCUGAUCAAGCAGUGCCGCGUAAGUGAUGAAGGCGUUAGGGUUGUAAAGCUCUCUUAGACGGGAUGAUAAUGACAGUACCGGGAGAAUAAGCACCGGCUAACUACGUG
Molecule: ribosomal RNA, 433 nt
Filed under: uncultured bacterium
Lineage: Bacteria
Description: partial 16S ribosomal RNA
Rfam family: Bacterial small subunit ribosomal RNA
Source: RNAcentral